This 406-nucleotide ribosomal RNA is filed under the name uncultured bacterium. RNAcentral describes it as "partial 16S ribosomal RNA". It matches the Rfam family "Bacterial small subunit ribosomal RNA", at positions 30 to 526 of the family's 1533-position model. The record is from RNAcentral.
AUUGAACGCUGGCGGCAUGCUUUACACAUGCAAGUCGGACGAGUGGCGAACGGGUGAGUAACAUAUCGGAACGUACCGAGUAAUGGGGGAUAACUAAUCGAAAGAUUAGCUAAUACCGCAUAUUAUUCGAGCGGCCGAUAUCUUAUUAGCUGGUUGGUGUGGUAAAGGCCUACCAAGGCGACGCUCAGUAGCGGGUCUGAGAGGAUGAUAAGCCACACUGGGACUGAGAAGCGGCCCAGACUCCUGCGUGAGGCAGCAGUGGUGAAUGUUGGACAAUGGGCGCAAGCAUGAUCCAGCCAUGCCGCGUGGCUGAAGAAGGCCUUCGGGUUGUAAAGGACGUUUGUCAGGGAAGCGUUACCUGAAGAAUAAGCACCGGCUAACUACGUGCCAGCAGCCGCGGUAAUAC